GGGAGAGCAGGAAGAGUCGCAUGGUGUCUAAAAUAUUCUUAUCCUUCUUCCCGACGAUCCUCUAUGUAAGUUGAUAUUUUACUUUUUAAUUGUCUUUUCUAACUUAUUUUUUCUAACUGCUUUCUCUUUUUUUCAGCUGGCGCACGAUAUGUCGAUGCUGGAGAGCGAUUAUCGGAACAUUGCAGACUUUUACCGAAUGUGGAGCGAUAAAGUUUCGACCGU
This 222-nucleotide long non-coding RNA is filed under the name Elaeis guineensis (African oil palm). Its description in RNAcentral is "long non-coding RNA (EGUI_LNC032626)". Lineage: Eukaryota; Viridiplantae; Streptophyta; Magnoliopsida; Arecales; Arecaceae. The record is from RNAcentral.